CAACCCCAGCCCGGGGCCAUGUGGGGCUGCCCCACGGCUCUCCUGGCCACCGCCCUCUGCGCCCUCCUGGCCACCGGGGCCACCCCCGACCCCGACUGGGCCAGCGGCUCCACGGGCCACCAGACGACCCCGGUGGCCACCGAACCCCUCGCCUGGGCCACCGAGGGGGACCGCCCGGUGGCCACCCCCGGCCCCGAACUGGCCACGGUGGCCACCGGUGCCCCCUCCCUGGCCACGGUGGCCACCACCAGCUCCGAACCGGCCCCGGUGGCCACCACCGGCCUCCAUGAAGCCCCAGUGGCCACCACGGGCCACCAACCGGCCCCCGAGGCCACCAGCGCCCUCCAGCCGACCACCAGUGGCCACCCCCUCCCCUCGGAGGCCACCGUGGACCAACGACCGGCCUCUGAGUCCUUCGGUGGCCACUUAACGACCCCGGGGACCACCACGGGCCACCCGCCGGCCUUGAAGACCUCCCUGAGCCACCGACCCACCUUGGAAGCCACCACGGGCCACCAGCCCACCUUGGAGACCACCCCGGGCCACCAACCAGGCUUGGGGGCUACCACGGGCCACCACUCAACCUCAGAGGCCACCGAGGGUCACCAACCGGCCCCGGGGACCACCGGUGGCCACCAGCCUUUGGAGACCACCGGUGGCCACCACCCAGGCCUGGAGACCACCGGCGGCCACCUCUCAACCUCGGUGGCCACCAACCCCUCCCCGGUGGCCACCACCCCCUCCCGGGUGGCCGCCACCCCUCAACACCCCCUCCCCAAGUCGCCCCCCACCCCCGCCCAGGAGGAGACCUCCUGGCGGUGGCUGGUGGCGGCGGUGGCCACGGUGGCCACCUUGGUGGUCCUGGGGCUAGUGGUGGCCGCUUGGCUCCAUCACCGGCGCCACCGAAGGGGCUCCACCUCCUUCGGGCCCUGGGCCGGGCCCGUCCCCUCCCCCCACCAGGAGGACGAGGGGGGAGGGGCGGCGGGGGGAGGGGGGGCCACCCAACCUUUGGUGGCCACGGUGGCCACCGGCCAAACGCCCACCCCCCUCAGCACCUUCAAGGCCCCCCCCGAGGCCAACGGGGAGCCUCCCCCCUCCCCCCCCCAAUUAACCGCUUCCUGUUGACGAAGGGCG
RNAcentral lists this long non-coding RNA (1134 nucleotides) under Calidris pygmaea (Spoon-billed sandpiper). RNAcentral's name for it is "lncRNA (ENSCPGG00000015134.1)". The record is from RNAcentral. Lineage: Eukaryota; Metazoa; Chordata; Aves; Charadriiformes; Scolopacidae.